CAAUAGCGUAUAUUAAAGUUGUUGCAGUUAAAAAGCUCGUAGUUGAAUUUUUGCUUGCCGCCGAUGUCGGAACUUCCGUACGUUCGGCGGCGUGCAUCCUUGGGUGGAACCUGUGUGGCAUUAGGUUGUCGUGCAGGGGAUGCUCAUCGUUUACUGUGAAAAAAUUAGAGUGUUCAAAGCAGGCUUACGCCGUUGAAUAUAUUAGCAUGGAAUAAUAAGAUAGGACCUUGGUACUAUUUUGUUGGUUUGCGCACCGAGGUAAUGAUUAACAGGGACAGUUGGGGGUAUUCGUAUUCCAUUGUCAGAGGUGAAAUUCUUGGAUUUCUGGAAGACGAACUACUGCGAAAGCAUUUACCAAGGAUGUUCUCAUUAA
RNAcentral lists this ribosomal RNA (373 nucleotides) under uncultured eukaryote. RNAcentral's name for it is "partial 18S ribosomal RNA". It matches the Rfam family "Eukaryotic small subunit ribosomal RNA", at positions 592 to 976 of the family's 1831-position model. The record is from RNAcentral.